GACGAACGCUGGCGGCGUGCUUAACACAUGCAAGUCGAACGGAAAGGCCCUGCUUUUGUGGGGUGCUCGAGUGGCGAACGGGUGAGUAACACGGGAGUAACCUGCCCUUGACUUUGGGAUAACUUCAGGAAACUGGGGCUAAUACCGGAUAGGAGCUCCUGCUGCAUUGUGGGGGUUGGAAAGUUUCGGCGGUUGGGGAUGGACUCGCGGCUUAUCAGCUUGUUGGUGGGGUAGUGGCUUACCAAGGCUUUGACGGGUAGCCGGCCUGGGCGGGUGACCGGCGACCAUGGGCCUGAGAUACGGCCCAGACUCCUACGGGAGGCAGCAGUGGGGAGUAUUGCACAAUGGGCGGAAGCCUGAUGCAGCAACGCCGCGUGCGGGAUGACGGCCUUCGGGUUGUAAACCGCUUUCGCCUGUGACGAAGCGUGAGUGACGGUAAUGGGUAAAGAAGCACCGGCUAACUACGUG
RNAcentral lists this ribosomal RNA (468 nucleotides) under uncultured bacterium. RNAcentral's name for it is "partial 16S ribosomal RNA". It matches the Rfam family "Bacterial small subunit ribosomal RNA", at positions 28 to 507 of the family's 1533-position model. The record is from RNAcentral.